CGCCCAAGGGUGACGGCCAUGUCGACGUGGACCCUGCAGUGCUCCCCCGUUGCAACCUAUGCACACCCUCGGUUGGCGACUAUUCGUACAAAGAAACGACCAUUUUUAGGGAACGGACAGGUUUCAUCUCAAAGCAAGUAAUCGUCGCGCCGGAUUACUCUUGCACGCAGCAUUUGGGCUAUGAAUGAAGACCCAACCUUUUCACCUCGAGGUUUUGGCAGUGUUGCUUCUAUCUGUGAUUCCAUGGCCGGGUCCCAGUGUCUUUAAAAUAUCAUGCCCUCGCGAUCGAGCGUCUGUAGUGAGGAGGAUAGUUCACAAGAGAUGGAUGCCAAUACUGAAGAAGUAUCAGGUAGAAUUACCAUUGGAAUGCCCGUUCCACGAGAGUCGAGAUAUUUUUCGGCCACAGCAAAAGGCAAAGCAUCAACACAGACCAUCACAAUGGACCUGCGGCCUUUGCGGCAAAUCCUUUUACGCCGAGAAACAUUUGGACGCCCACUUCGAUAACAGACACAAGAGCAAUGUUAAUACGGCAGAAGAUGCGGUAUGCCUAGCGGAUUACUGUGACAUUAUGCGUUGCGAGGUGCUGGGCAACCGCGACUUCGAGAACUCGGUGGACGACGAUGGUGGUCAUCUAAACACCGACAUCCAGGUAUGGCGCGAAAAUACCGAGCAACAAAAGCAACAGCAACAGCGGCGCAGCACUUCUAUCGUGCCCUGCGGAUCGCGUGGCCUCGCCAGGAUGUAUCCUACAGAUAAGUCCUGCGUCAUUGCUGGCGGUGGAGCGGUGACGAAUCUGCAGCGUUACUGCCGUCGUGACGACCACCAUGACGAUAGUGAUAUGCACAAUCAUAGAUUAGCGAGAUCAUCUUAUCACAAUGAGAUCGCCGAAACGGAUAAUAAAAAUGAUUGCGAAGAGGAUGAGGACGAAGAAGAUGAAGAGGACAUGGAAGAUGAGGAGAAUCUGGUAGAAGCGGCGCUACCUGCCGUCGACAAAAAACAGAGACGGAGAGGACUGCAUUUGAGAAAACUAAAAUCCAAUUGUAAGCCAGAAGAGUUGCAGAAAUUGAAGACCCAAUGUGAAAUACUCGUACGCGAUUGUAUUGCCGGAUUACUCGCUAAUCUUUCUGUACGAGAUUUUCAAGAAAUCGAAGGGGAGCUAAAUCGAGCGAUCUGCUGGUAUCUCAGCUGUGAUAGAUAUUGGGAGGACACAAAAAGACCGCAGCGUCACACACCCUGGUACCUGCUGACUGUCUUCAUGCUGCUCCUAUUUUCGUCGAUUUACGCAUGUUACUACAUAAUCUGGGUUUGCUUUAAUACCGCAGACGAAGAUAGAUUGGACGGUGGAAGCGAUUACAACGGAAGUACGGAUCGCUCAAGUACUUCUCCGUUGCACGAUCCGAGUAUUCAUAACGAGGGCAGAUUGGACAGGCGAAAGGGCGAUCAUGGGGAUGAGAAUCUGCCCUUAUCGAGCGAGGACAUGCCUGAUCACUAUAUCUACGUCUCGUACCCGCCCGAGCUAAAGCGGCGACUUCUGGAGAGUGAUCCUCCUGCUUACAGCUGCUACAAUAGGACCACACGUCUGUAAAUUAAGAAGGAAGUGCAUACACGACGAAAUUAAAAUUUUAUUCGGGAUCUGCACAAGGAAAGUGCGUACCGGACGAUAACAGCACCGUUGCAAUGCACGACACUCCAGCUACGACCAUGCACAAACAAAGCGGCCAUCGACG
Molecule: unclassified non-coding RNA, 1727 nt
Filed under: Acromyrmex echinatior (Panamanian leafcutter ant)
Lineage: Eukaryota; Metazoa; Arthropoda; Insecta; Hymenoptera; Formicidae
Description: uncharacterized LOC105151303, transcript variant X2
Source: RNAcentral